RNAcentral lists this ribosomal RNA (253 nucleotides) under uncultured bacterium. Its description in RNAcentral is "partial 16S ribosomal RNA". It matches the Rfam family "Bacterial small subunit ribosomal RNA", at positions 524 to 776 of the family's 1533-position model. The record is from RNAcentral.
UACGAAGGAGGCUAGCGUUGUUCGGAAUCACUGGGCGUAAAGCGCACGUAGGCGGAUUUUUAAGUCAGGGGUGAAAUCCCGGGGCUCAACCUCGGAACUGCCUUUGAUACUGGAGAUCUUGAGUCCGGAAGAGGUAAGUGGAACUGCGAGUGUAGAGGUGAAAUUCGUAGAUAUUCGCAAGAACACCAGUGGCGAAGGCGGCUUACUGGUCCGGAACUGACGCUGAUGUGCGAAAGCGUGGGGAGCAAACAGG